Molecule: transfer RNA, 70 nt
Filed under: Dipodomys ordii (Ord's kangaroo rat)
Lineage: Eukaryota; Metazoa; Chordata; Mammalia; Rodentia; Heteromyidae
Rfam family: tRNA
About the family: Transfer RNA (tRNA) molecules are approximately 80 nucleotides in length. Their secondary structure includes four short double-helical elements and three loops (D, anti-codon, and T loops). Further hydrogen bonds mediate the characteristic L-shaped molecular structure. tRNAs have two regions of fundamental functional importance: the anti-codon, which is responsible for specific mRNA codon recognition, and the 3' end, to which the tRNAs corresponding amino acid is attached (by aminoacyl-tRNA synthetases). tRNAs cope with the degeneracy of the genetic code in two manners: having more than one tRNA (with a specific anti-codon) for a particular amino acid; and 'wobble' base-pairing, i.e. permitting non-standard base-pairing at the 3rd anti-codon position.
Source: Rfam by way of RNAcentral
GGGAAAGUGGCUCAGUGGGAGAGCUCUUGCCUUGCAUGCAUGAAGCCCUGGGUUCGAUUCCUCAGCACCA